UGUAAUUUAGUAAUCAUGAAAUAUCACAUACUCGAACCGACGUGACCGCGUAGCUCAGUUGGAAGAACAUUGGGCUAGUAUUCCAAAGGUCGUAGGUUCGAUUCCCACCGUUGCCCGGCAUAUUUGUCAAGCUUACCCGGUGUGCAUAUACACUCAAAGUAACAUCACAAGCAUCAUAUUCACCUGAGUACAUUACACCAACACAGAAAAAAUCUAGAAUCGUGUCCAAAUUCAACGAAACUGUGCAAGAUAACCCGAGCUAUGGGCAGUAAUAAACACCUAUUUUCUGAAAUCCUACCAUCGCAAGUCCCCCCCCCCGGUAAUUUUUUUUUUGGAUUUGUUACCACUAACAUAUGUGCCACUUGACUUUGAUAAC
Paramuricea clavata is the source of this 376-nucleotide non-coding RNA. NCBI's taxonomy places the organism in Eukaryota, Metazoa, Cnidaria, Anthozoa, Malacalcyonacea, Plexauridae. The record is from the annotation of a GenBank genome assembly.